GAUGAACGCUGGCGACGUGCCUAAUACAUGCAAGUCGAGCGAACAGACGAGGAGCUUGCUCCUCCGACGUUAGCGGCGGACGGGUGAGUAACACGUGGAUAACCUACCUAUAAGACUGGGAUAACUUCGGGAAACCGGAGCUAAUACCGGAUAAUAUAUUGAACCGCAUGGUUCAAUAGUGAAAGACGGUUUUGCUGUCACUUAUAGAUGGAUCCGCGCCGCAUUAGCUAGUUGGUAAGGUAACGGCUUACCAAGGCAACGAUGCGUAGCCGACCUGAGAGGGUGAUCGGCCACACUGGAACUGAGACACGGUCCAGACUCCUACGGGAGGCAGCAGUAGGGAAUCUUCCGCAAAGGGCGAAAGCCUGACGGAGCAACGCCGCGUGAGUGAUGAAGGUCUUCGGAUCGUAAAACUCUGUUAUUAGGGAAGAACAAAUGUGUAAGUAACUAUGCACGUCUUGACGGUACCUAAUCAGAAAGCCACGGCUAACUACGUG
This 497-nucleotide ribosomal RNA is filed under the name uncultured bacterium. RNAcentral describes it as "partial 16S ribosomal RNA". It matches the Rfam family "Bacterial small subunit ribosomal RNA", at positions 28 to 507 of the family's 1533-position model. The record is from RNAcentral.